This 54-nucleotide small RNA is filed under the name Escherichia coli. Its description in RNAcentral is "partial RtT sRNA". It matches the Rfam family "RtT RNA", at positions 77 to 130 of the family's 130-position model. Rfam says of the family: This family represents a bacterial cis-regulatory element known as RtT RNA. The exact function of RtT is unknown although it is thought that it may be involved in changing the cellular response in relation to amino acid starvation. The record is from RNAcentral. Lineage: Bacteria; Pseudomonadati; Pseudomonadota; Gammaproteobacteria; Enterobacterales; Enterobacteriaceae.
CAACGGCCCGAAGGGUGAGGAGCGAAGCGACGAAUAAUCCUUUCCCCACCGCCA